Oncorhynchus tshawytscha (Chinook salmon) is the source of this 2595-nucleotide non-coding RNA. Lineage: Eukaryota; Metazoa; Chordata; Actinopteri; Salmoniformes; Salmonidae. The record is from the annotation of a RefSeq genome assembly.
CUGCAUUCUCCCAUACAAUUGUAUUGCCCCUGUUCAGCGAAGUGAACACACACCGUUGAUCAACAGAUUGCUGUUAGUAGACUGAUCUCUGGUGAUCAACAGGCGCCAUCUACAGGAGGAAAACCGCGGUCUCGCUUUUUGAGAUGUAGGCUCGGCCUAUGGGCAAGACAUCAUCUCGUAAAGGUUGCUCAACGGACUCAAAGUGAUGAUGCCCUUCAAAUUGAGUGAAACUAAAAUGCCAGGCCCCCUGCUACUUCUGCUGUGCUGGAGCUAUGUCUUGAAAGCUACACACACAUCAAUUAUAGCCCAGACACCUGGAGUGGUGAUGGUGAAAGCUGGUGAUACAGUGACCUUGAAAUGCCAUUUGAGUGAGAUUAUCACCUACUGCUUCUCUGUGAGUUGGAUAAAAGUGGACCCCAGGACUGGAACACACAGCAUGAGUACAACCUUAACGGUUGAUAACAUUUCAACGGACCAGGAACAGGACAACAUAUGUUCCGUUACAAUCACCAAUGCAAAUGUGAGCGACUCUGGCAUGUACUACUGUUUGGCUGUUCACUCCAAAAUGGUGUACUCUGGCAAUGGUUCUAAGGUUAUUAUUUUGACAGAGAGAGAAAGGGUAGGGAACAGCAGUAAAGCCCCAACCAUCCAAAUCGUCUCUUCGCCAGAGGUUGACCGCAUCUUCAUCCCUCUGCUGUGUUUGGUGUUGGAAGUGGUCCCGUCUCAGGUCCGUGUGUUCUGGCUCAUAGACGGGAGAGAAGAGAGUGGACUCACUGACUCCACCUGGACAGACAACAGUGAUUCAGCCACAGAGUUCACUAGGAACCAGAUUCUUGUCCAGGCACAGGAGUGGGACAGAGGAGCAGAGUUUACAUGUGUGGUGGAGUUUGAGGGGAAAAAUAUCACCAAAACACUGCUGCAGAAAAAUGAUUCCAAUGCCAUGUGCACAAUGUUGAUGUAUGGGGCCUCUGCAGCUGCUCUCCUCACCAUAAUAGUUGCUGUCACUAUCGCUGUGUGUCUGCACCGUGGGCAUCCUGUGGUUAUUGAUGCAGAUACAAGACAAAGAGGCACAGGCACUGAGAACAAACGGGAUCAAUCUGGGAGACGUGGAGAAGCAAGAAGGCCAGUUAGAUCAUCGUUCUCGGAGGUCCAGUAUGCGACUUUGGACCAUAUCAAUUUUGGGAGACGCACAAAUACAGUUCUCCAAUCAGAUUUUGACAAAGAAAUUGCAUAAAAAUUCCUUGUAUUUUGUCAUGAUGUAGAUGCUUAUGAACUGCCACUGAAAACAUUUCAGAUUAUUAUUUAUGUAUAAAGCAAGAGCCGGUGUCCGCAAUUGCUAAGUACUUUCUUUUAUAUUGGAAUUCAACUGUGGAGUAGUCUCCCAUUAGUCAUAAAUCUGUCCCAGUCCAGAAAGGCUUUCAGAGGUCAGGUUAGAUCCCUUCCGUCAGGAAAAGUGCACAGGUCUAAAUAGGAAAAUUACUGAAUAUUCUUGAAUUUUGUAUGGAUUGUGUAUUUUUUAUGGUGUAGGCUAGUUAGGGACUUGUCACAGGAGGUUGGUGGCACCUUAAUUGGGGAGGAUGGUUUCGUGGUAUUGGCUGGAGUGGAAUAGUAUGAAAUACAUCAAACACAUGGAUUGAUGCCAAUCCAUUUGCUUUGUUCCAGACAUUAUUAUCAGCCGUUCUCCCCUCAGCAGCCUCCACUGGCCCAUGUAUUUCCAUGGAUUUUCUUGUGUUGUGUCCUGUUUUUGUCCUACACAGAAGACCACAUUGGAAAUAAGUGUUCUUACACUAUUGUGUGUCAUCCUCUGGGAUUCUUUGUACUUUUAAAACUGUAAGAAUUGUAUUAUCCAAAAUCAAAUCAAUCAAUCAAUCAAUAUGGCUUGUAAAUGAAUGUCUUUGUUUUGUUUUUUUCUUCGUUUUAUUACCUCUUAUCUAAUUUACCAUUUCCCUGGAACCCUUAGUGCCAAACAUGCCUCUGUUUUUGAACAGAUAUCUAAAACAUAUGUUUAAAAACUUUGCUUGAAUGCAACAACAAAAAAUAUGAUGUUAAAAUGUUCAAUCUCAAGCGCACUUUGACAAAGUGUACGUCUUGAUUUCUCUGACCAAAAUGAGAAGGCUCCUGCACAGACUGCAGAUUGUGGAACAUGACAAAGUGUCACAGGUAACAUGUGUAGGACUGUAGCCUUCGGAACAGAAGCUGACCACAGUAGUUUAAGCUUUAGCUGCAUCUCUCUCUCGCUCUCUUUCUCUGCGAGGAGUGGUUUUUCUGAGCAUGAUAUGCUUUUGGACAGACACCGCUUUGAUCAAAUCUGUGCUUUGCUUAUAACAAACCACUUGCGGAUUCUAUAUUCAGACUUUUUCACCCAAUAGCGCAAUAUACUAGAUAGCAAACCACGAAAGUAAAAAGGUUAUCAGCUCCCAUCCGAUCACCAAACCUCAGCAGCCUUCACGAAAUGAAUGAAAGUCAGACAAUAGAUGGAAUGUGCUGUUAUUAUUGUAACAGUUCAUUUUCUACAACAACAGUAUUUUAAAGGAUUGGAAAAUAGUUAUGCUCCCACUUAGUUCUGAAUGGGAAAUAAAGCACUCUGGCCGAUGA